ACGCUGGCGGCAGGCCUAACACAUGCAAGUCGAGCGGUAGAGAGAAGCUUGCUUCUCUUGAGAGCGGCGGACGGGUGAGUAAUGCCUAGGAAUCUGCCUGGUAGUGGGGGAUAACGUCCGGAAACGGACGCUAAUACCGCAUACGUCCUACGGGAGAAAGCAGGGGACCUUCGGGCCUUGCGCUAUCAGAUGAGCCUAGGUCGGAUUAGCUAGUUGGUGGGGUAAUGGCUCACCAAGGCGACGAUCCGUAACUGGUCUGAGAGGAUGAUCAGUCACACUGGAACUGAGACACGGUCCAGACUCCUACGGGAGGCAGCAGUGGGGAAUAUUGGACAAUGGGCGAAAGCCUGAUCCAGCCAUGCCGCGUGUGUGAAGAAGGUCUUCGGAUUGUAAAGCACUUUAAGUUGGGAGGAAGGGCAGUAAAUUAAUACUUUGCUGUUUUGACGUUACCGACAGAAUAAGCACCGCCUAACUCUGUGCCAGCAGCCGCGGUAAUACAGAGGGUGCAAGCGUUAAUCGGAAUUACUGGGCGUAAAGCGCGCGUAGGUGGUUCGUUAAGUUGGAUGUGAAAUCCCCGGGCUCAACCUGGGAACUGCAUUCAAAACUGACGAGCUAGAGUAUGGUAGAGGGUGGUGGAAUUUCCUGUGUAGCGGUGAAAUGCGUAGAUAUAGGAAGGAACACCAGUGGCGAAGGCGACCACCUGGACUGAUACUGACACUGAGGUGCGAAAGCGUGGGGAGCAAAC
RNAcentral lists this ribosomal RNA (745 nucleotides) under uncultured bacterium. Its description in RNAcentral is "bacterial SSU rRNA". It matches the Rfam family "Bacterial small subunit ribosomal RNA", at positions 33 to 773 of the family's 1533-position model. The record is from RNAcentral.